CAGCAGGAUGCAGCCUGACACAGUCACACACAAAAGUGGUUUAGGAACAACUGAAAAUACAUGAAGAACAGCACAAGGCGUUGACCUGGCCUCCAGAUUCACUAGAUCCCAAACUGAUCCAAGUAUCCACACAGGCCCCUCUCCUUAACUCAUCAGACCCAAAGCCUAUCGAUACAACCGAUUUCCUUUCUGAUCUGAUACUGAUUAAAAUUCAGGCUGGUAUCGGCGAUACCGAUACCUUGUGCAAAUACACCUAAUGUGUCUGGUUAAACACUACUUAAGGGUAGUGUAUUUACAAAUGAUGAAUUAAAAAUACUUUAUUCAGUGUCCAGUAGCUUGUACACAAAGUUACACAGACAUCAGCAUAACACACAAACAAAAUCCACAGAAUCGACAGGAGUUAAGUUCAGUCUGAUGGCUGCACCAUCAGACUGAACUUAACUACUAUAAUAAUGGAAACUUGCCUCUUAAUUCUGACACUGUGCUCUCCUCUUCUGUCCUUCUGUAGUUUAUAGUUACUUUACACUUUGUUUGAGACACAUUUGAGAAAUCGAUUUUCUGGUAACUGGUAUCAGUAUCGAUAUUUCAGUAUCGAUCUGCACAUCCAUCCAUUCUCUGAUGAGUCACAAUUGUUUUGGAGUUCAUAGUGUUGCUCCUGAUCGUUGUAUAUCAUAUCAUAGGAAUAUGUCAUGUAACAUGCAUCAGUGUUAUCUAGUACUCUUAUUUGUAUCAUGAUUAGAUGUAUAUGUAAGAUUUAGACAGAUGUUUGUAUCAUCUUGUUCCCUCUUCUCUUCUCUUCUCUUCUCUUCUCUUCUCUUCUCUUCUCUUCUCUUCUCUUCUCUUCUCUUCUCUUCUCUUCUCUUCUCUUCUCUUCUCUUCUCUUCUCUCAUGUUUUUUCUCUCUCUACUCAUCUGGCCUCAAGCAGACGUCCCUCUCAUAAGAGCUCAACAUUCUGCUCAACAUUUCUUCCUCUGAAAAAUUAUCUUGAGACAAUGUGGAUUCUUCUUCAUAUUGUAUAAAUAAACGUAAUUCUGGGUGGAGUUUGCAUUUUGAGGUGUGAGACCUGUGGUUUGUCUCUGGGUACUCCGAUUUCUUCCAGCAACCCCCACAACCCUAUUGAGGAUAAGCGGUAGUAGAAGAUGAGAUGAUUGUUGUGCUGCCGUGUGAGGACAUUUACAGAAGUGUGUGCUUCUGUGGCCUGUUGAAUGCUAUUAUCUCUUUCUCAUGCUUACUGUGGUUUCCUGCCAUUAAGUAUAUAACGUGUCAGUGACUUGUACGCUGAUACCAGAAAACUUCCUGGAGGAGUAGUAUUCAGCUUCAUCAUGACUGGACACCUUCUGUUUAUUGUCCUUAUCUGUAAGUUAAACGUCUCAUCAUUAACAUUGGCGCUUACACAACGAUACAGGAACACCAUUACUUACGAUUGUAAGGUUAAUACGUUAUAUGUCUCACUAAGUAUUUUUAUCUGCAGCGUAUAUUAACAGUUUUACAUUAGUUGCAUCUUAGCUGCAGGUUAAAUAUUCUUAUGCUGUGGUGAGGUUUCUCAUGAGUGACUAGUGCAUCUAUUUCACUUGUUUAAAAAUCUUUCUCUGACAGAUUCUUUUCAUCAGAUUGAAGGUCAGUCCCUGAGAUUAUCUUUUUUUUUUAAUGAUCAGUCGUACAGUAUCCGUACAUAUUUCAUCCACAUAUGUUGACCUCUGUCUUUUCAGCUCUGCCUCCUCCUAAACUGACAGUGACUAGAUCAGUGAUCACAGAGACAGACUCAGUCACACUGAGGUGUGAGCCUCCAUCAUCUGUUCCUGUGUCUCAGUGUCAUUUCUACACUUUAAUUGCAUCAAAAGGAAUUAUUAAAGACUUCCCCUGUGUGAAGACACUGACAGGAAUUGAGCUUCUGGACAUAGUAAACAGCCUACCACUUGCUGUGGUUAAAGUCAGCUGUUUUUAUGAAGUCCAAACUGAAAGGUCUCCAUACAGUGAAUUCUCCACCAUCACCAUACAGAAUUCGACUGCUUCUAUGCCACAUAACACUGUGAGCUCCACCACCUCAGCUUCCCAGUCAACAAUGAACCCAGCAUCAGAUACAAGAAGAAGUGUCAUGGUUGUGAUCAUGACUGCUUGUGGAGUAACUUUGGUGUUGUGUUACUGGGAAUUGGACUUGUGUGGAAUCAACAGAGAGAAGAGAAAUGUGCUUCCAAGGGGUAAGGCUUUUUAUACUUUAAAUACAUGAGUGCAACUUCUUUUUGAAUACUGCUCUGUUUUGCAUUGAUUGUUUCACUUCGACAAAACCAACCAUUGUUAUGUUAUGACUGUCUCAAAUGAAAGAAAGUUUCUUAGUUUCCUUGUUGUACUCUAUCUCAGGGUGGUUUGGCUGUCAUUUAUAACACUUGAGGAGGCUUGUGCAGCUUCUGCAUUCUCUCAUUUUUCUCAUUGUCUUCCUAUGAUACUGUCCAAUAUACAUUUGUUUCCAAUAUAAUGGAUGACAAAAUCCAAAUCCAUUCACUCUUGAGCAACACUUUAACAGCAGCACUCUGACCGUGUCAUUGGCCAUGCUUGACUGGUAACUGUUGUCACUCAUAUUGUGAACAUGACAUAAGAUAUCAGCUUAUGCUGAGGAUGUUUGUGGAGAAUAAUGUGGCCAUGAACUGUGCUUCUAAAAGACAUAAACAAUUAUAUAUAAUAAACUAUUAUUCUUUUUUUUCCCUUCAGAGCAAAAGUUAGCAUCGUAGGUAAAUCAAGACAUGUUACUCAUCUGCAUUCACUCCAAUCAUUCUAAUCAUGCCAAUACAUCAUGUUAUUUAUGCACAGUGUAUUUUAUUUAUAUGUGAUUAUUAAAGAUGUUGUUUAUCUUUUAGAUGAAUGGAAAUCUUUGGCUGAUUAUGAUGAAACCUACAGUACUGUCAACUAUGAGUGAAAAAAUGAGUGACAGCAGCGGUACCUCAGACCCUCGGGCCAUUGGACCAGCUCCAGAUUGAUUGACCACUCUGCAAAUCAUUAUUUUUCUUGCAUGCUUGUUUAUAUUAAAGUUACUUGGUGUUUGCAUUAGUAUCCCAUAGGGAAGUUCUUAUAACAGUGUAACAGCUUUAUUUAACUGCAGUCUCAGUCAAUGGCUCCUUUGCAUAGACAAUAUUUUUACAGCACAGUUUAAAUAAUUCGGAUCAGAAAUUUUAACUCAAGUGUUUACAUGGAUGCUAAAUAAAAUAAUUUGAUGAAAUAUAAUGUACAUUUUUUAAUUUACCUGGAAACAAUCAGAGAAUAUGUGCCAAGUGGUCCUGGUUGCUAUGUCCAAUGUGUAAUCUGCCAUAGACAUGUAUUUUUUGGUUAAUGAUCAAACAUCAGACACCAUCAGACUCAGCUGAUAAGAUAA
Molecule: long non-coding RNA, 3364 nt
Organism: Mugil cephalus (flathead mullet)
Lineage: Eukaryota; Metazoa; Chordata; Actinopteri; Mugiliformes; Mugilidae
Exons: 6
Source: RefSeq, a predicted model, not a curated record